GACGAACGCUGGCGGCGUGCCUAAUACAUGCAAGUCGAACGCAGUGGGGACGGGUGAGUAACACGUGGGUAACCUCCCAUCAGAGGGGAUAACACUUGGAAACAGGUGCUAAACCGAUACUGAUGGAUGUACCCGCGGUGCAUUAGCUAGUUGGUGAGGUAACGGCUCACCAAGGCCACGAUGCAUAGACGAGCUGAGAGGGGGAUCGGGCAAACUGGGACUGGGAAACGGCCAAGACACCUACGGGAGGCAGCAGUAGGGAAUCUUGGGCAAUGGGCGAAAGGCUGACCGAGCAACGCAGCGUGAGGGAAGAAGGUUUUGGGAGGGGAAAACUCUGUUGUUAGAGAAGCGGUAUCUAACCAGAAAGCCACGGCUAACUACGUGCCAGCCGCCGCGGUAAUACC
This 404-nucleotide ribosomal RNA is filed under the name uncultured bacterium. RNAcentral describes it as "partial 16S ribosomal RNA". It matches the Rfam family "Bacterial small subunit ribosomal RNA", at positions 28 to 527 of the family's 1533-position model. The record is from RNAcentral.